Molecule: long non-coding RNA, 988 nt
Organism: Centropristis striata (black sea bass)
Lineage: Eukaryota; Metazoa; Chordata; Actinopteri; Perciformes; Serranidae
Exons: 3
Source: RefSeq, a predicted model, not a curated record
UGGUUGUGAUCAAUAUCAAGAGACCCAAGAAGUUUCUCAGCUCCUUUCCUGCUGUCAAUGAACUGACCCUCAGGGAUGGCAGCAGGAUUCAGGAUGCGAUAUCUGGAAAUGAAAAAAACAAUAAUGUCUCAAAGAAUAAUAUUGAACUUUUGUUUGCAAUUAUAACAUAUCGGGCUAAAAUUAGAUUAAACCUCUGUUUGAAAUCUCCAUAGAGGAUCCUGUUGGGGAAGCCCUUUCUGCAGAUCCUGAUGCCUUCCAGCACACCGUUACAGCGCAGCUGGUGCAUCACCAGAGGGUUCUCCAUGGCCCCAGGAGUCUUGGUCUCAUUGGGGAUGAUGCAGCGUACAAAGUGAGGUGACUUUGUCUCCAUCUCGGCUGGUGAUGGUUGCCUUCACAAACUCCUCCACUGGAUCCGGGACAAAACAUUCCUUCUUGAUGUCGAAGAUGCGCGUCGAGGCCUCCAUACGCUCCUUGUCCGACUUCCUCAGCUCCUCCAUGUGCUUCCUGUUUGGCUCUCUGCUUUGGAACAUUUUCAGCAGCUGGCCGGAGCAGAUGAGAUCAGAUGAGGCGGGCAGCUGUUUGUGUUUUCAGUCAGUGAGGAUUAGAGGUGUGAUCCACAGCUGACAGACCCUCAGGAUGCCUGGACGCCACACACACCACAACCUUUAAUGGAUCUGAGCUGGAGGAGGGAGAGAAUGUGCUGCUUCAUGCCUCGGACAAUGAUUCAGUUCACACCUGAUUUAUUAGCACUUUUAAUUGGCUGAUUAAAACAAGUACGAUGUUCAGUGUUCAGCCUCUGGUAGAGCUGUUUAUAGGACACCAGAGAAACUGAACUAUAGUGACUUUGUCUCAACUUUAUCAAACUGACUGGAACAAUGAUUAUGAUGACACUUGUAUUGGUAUUGAUUAUUACUAUUUUCUUCUAUGAUGAUAUGAUUCUUUGUGAUUUCUUGUUUUUGUUCCCUAUUAAAAAAUCUUUAAAAUACUA